GGAAUUUUGGGCAAUGGGCGAAAGCCUGACCCAGCAACGCCGCGUGAAGGAUGAAAUCCCUCGGGAUGUAAACUUCGCAAGAACGGGAAGAAUAAGUAAGAGUUAACAUCUCUUAUGAUGACGGUACUGUUUGUAAGCUCCGGCUACCUCCGUGCCAGCCGCCGCGGUAAUACGGGGGGAGCAAGCGUUGUUCGGAUUUACUGGGCGUAAAGGGCGCGUAGGCGGCCACCGCAAGUCGACUGUGAAAUCUCCGGGCUUAACCCGGAACGGUCAGCCGAUACUGCGGGGCUAGAGUGCAGAAGGGGCAACUGGAAUUCUCGGUGUAGCGGUGAAAUGCGUAGAUAUCGAGAGGAACACCUGCGGCGAAGGCGGGUUGCUGGGCUGACACUGACGCUGAGGCGCGAAAGCUAGGGGAGCGAACGGG
RNAcentral lists this ribosomal RNA (424 nucleotides) under uncultured bacterium. Its description in RNAcentral is "bacterial SSU rRNA". It matches the Rfam family "Bacterial small subunit ribosomal RNA", at positions 358 to 776 of the family's 1533-position model. The record is from RNAcentral.